GACGAACGCUGGCGGCGUGCUUAACACAUGCAAGUCGAACGGUGAAGGGGCCUGCUUUUGUGGGCCCUGGAUGAGUGGCGAACGGGUGAGUAACACGUGAGUAACCUGCCCCCUUCUUCUGGAUAACCGCAUGAAAGUGUGGCUAAUACGGGAUAUUCUGGGUCUGUCGCAUGAUGGGUCUGGGAAAGAUUGCGCCUUUGGGUGUUUUUGGUGGGGGAUGGGCUCGCGGCCUAUCAGCUUGUUGGUGGGGUGAUGGCCUACCAAGGCGGUGACGGGUAGCCGGCCUGAGAGGGUGGACGGUCACACUGGGACUGAGACACGGCCCAGACUCCUACGGGAGGCAGCAGUGGGGAAUAUUGCACAAUGGGCGCAAGCCUGAUGCAGCGACGCCGCGUGAGGGAUGGAGGCCUUCGGGUUGUAAACCUCUUUCGCCAGUGAAGCAGGCCUGCUCCUUGUGGGUGGGUUGACGGUAGCUGGAGAAGAAGCGCCGGCUAACUACGUG
RNAcentral lists this ribosomal RNA (502 nucleotides) under uncultured bacterium. RNAcentral describes it as "partial 16S ribosomal RNA". It matches the Rfam family "Bacterial small subunit ribosomal RNA", at positions 28 to 507 of the family's 1533-position model. The record is from RNAcentral.